This 68-nucleotide transfer RNA is filed under the name Marmota monax (woodchuck). Its description in RNAcentral is "tRNA.Pro". The record is from RNAcentral. Lineage: Eukaryota; Metazoa; Chordata; Mammalia; Rodentia; Sciuridae.
GGAUUGUGGCUCAGUGGUAGAGUUCUUGCCUAGGACGUGUGAGGCACUGGAUUCAAUUCCCAGCACCA